AACGAACGCUGGCGGCAUGCCUAACACAUGCAAGUCGAACGAGACCCCUGACUUCGGUUGCGGGUCCAGUGGCGCACGGGCGCGUAACGCGUGGGAAUCUGCCCUUGGGUUCGGAAUAACUCAGAGAAAUUUGAGCUAAUACCGGAUGAUGACGAAAGUCCAAAGAUUUAUCGCCCAGGGAUGAGCCCGCGUAAGAUUAGCUUGUUGGUGGGGUAAUGGCCUACCAAGGCGACGAUCUUUAGCUGGUCUGAGAGGAUGAUCAGCCACACUGGGACUGAGACACGGCCCAGACUCCUACGGGAGGCAGCAGUGGGGAAUAUUGGACAAUGGGCGCAAGCCUGAUCCAGCAAUGCCGCGUGAGUGAUGAAGGCCUUAGGGUUGUAAAGCUCUUUUACCAGGGAUGAUAAUGACAGUACCUGGAGAAUAAGCUCCGGCUAACUCCGUG
RNAcentral lists this ribosomal RNA (445 nucleotides) under uncultured bacterium. RNAcentral describes it as "bacterial SSU rRNA". It matches the Rfam family "Bacterial small subunit ribosomal RNA", at positions 29 to 507 of the family's 1533-position model. The record is from RNAcentral.